GUGCUCAUUUUGGCAGCACAUACAGUAAAAUUGGAAUGAUACAGAGAAGAUUAGCAUGGCCCCUGCACAAAGAUGACACACAAAUUCGUGAAGCAUUCCAUAUUUUU
This is a small nuclear RNA of Mesoplodon densirostris (Blainville's beaked whale), 107 nucleotides long. The record is from RefSeq and is a predicted model, not a curated record. Lineage: Eukaryota; Metazoa; Chordata; Mammalia; Artiodactyla; Ziphiidae.